Molecule: ribosomal RNA, 739 nt
Filed under: uncultured bacterium
Lineage: Bacteria
Description: bacterial SSU rRNA
Rfam family: Bacterial small subunit ribosomal RNA
Source: RNAcentral
UCUAACUGCAGUCGACGGACUUCUCAUGAAGCUUGCGAUUGAGAAGUUAGUGGCGGACGGGUGAGUAACGCGUGGGCAACCUGCCCCUGAGCCCGGGAUAACAGUUCGAAAGGACUGCUAAGACCGGAUAUUCUUGCGGAGAGGCAUUUUUCUGCAAGGAAAGGAAACGCUCAAGGAUGGGCCCGCGUCCCAUUAGCUAGUUGGUGAGGUAACGGCCCACCAAGGCGACGAUGGGUAGCCGGCCUGAGAGGGUGAACGGCCACACUGGGACUGAGACACGGCCCAGACUCCUACGGGAGGCAGCAGUUGGGAAUCUUCGGCAAUGGGCGCAAGCCUGACCGAGCAACGCCGCGUGAGUGAUGAAGGUUUUCGGAUUGUAAAGCUCUGUCUUCCGGGACGAUAAUGACGGUACCGGAGGAGGAAGCCACGGCUAACUACGUGCCAGCAGCCGCGGUAAUACGUAGGUGGCGAGCGUUGUCCGGAAUUACUGGGCGUAAAGGGCGCGUAGGCGGCCUGUCAAGUCAGAUGUGAAAUCCCCGGGCUUAACCCGGGAACUGCAUUUGAAACUGACGGGCUUGAGGGCAGGAGAGGAAAGCGGAACUCCCAGUGUAGCGGUGAAAUGCGUAGAUAUUGGGAGGAACACCAGUGGCGAAGGCGGCUUUCUGGACUGUAACUGACGCUGAGGCGCGAAAGCCAGGGGAGCGAACGGGAUUAGAUACCCCGGUAGUCCUGGCUGUAA